This 1229-nucleotide ribosomal RNA is filed under the name Flavobacterium sp. Its description in RNAcentral is "bacterial SSU rRNA". It matches the Rfam family "Bacterial small subunit ribosomal RNA", at positions 83 to 1319 of the family's 1533-position model. Lineage: Bacteria; Pseudomonadati; Bacteroidota; Flavobacteriia; Flavobacteriales; Flavobacteriaceae. The record is from RNAcentral.
CGGGCCUUGAGACCGGCGCACGGGUGCGUAACGCGUAUGCAAUCUGCCUUCCACAGAGGGAUAGCCCAGAGAAAUUUGGAUUAAUACCUCAUAGCAUCAUGACCCGGCAUCGGGAUAUGAUUAAAGUCACAACGGUGGAAGAUGAGCAUGCGUCCCAUUAGCUAGUUGGUAAGGUAACGGCUUACCAAGGCUACGAUGGGUAGGGGUCCUGAGAGGGAGAUCCCCCACACUGGUACUGAGACACGGACCAGACUCCUACGGGAGGCAGCAGUGAGGAAUAUUGGUCAAUGGGCGCAAGCCUGAACCAGCCAUGCCGCGUGCAGGAUGACGGUCCUAUGGAUUGUAAACUGCUUUUGUACGGGAAGAAACCCUCCUACGUGUAGGAGCUUGACGGUACCGUAAGAAUAAGGAUCGGCUAACUCCGUGCCAGCAGCCGCGGUAAUACGGAGGAUCCAAGCGUUAUCCGGAAUCAUUGGGUUUAAAGGGUCUGUAGGCGGUCUUGUAAGUCAGUGGUGAAAGCCCAUCGCUCAACGGUGGAACGGCCAUUGAUACUGCUGGACUUGAAUUAUUGGGAAGCAACUAGAAUAUGUAGUGUAGCGGUGAAAUGCUUAGAGAUUACAUGGAAUACCACUUGCGAAGGCAGGUUGCUACCAAUGGAUUGACGCUGAUGGACGAAAGCGUGGGUAGCGAACAGGAUUAGAUACCCUGGUAGUCCACGCCGUAAACGAUGGAUACUAGCUGUUGGGCGCAAGUUCAGUGGCUAAGCGAAAGUGAUAAGUAUCCCACCUGGGGAGUACGAACGCAAGUUUGAAACUCAAAGGAAUUGACGGGGGCCCGCACAAGCGGUGGAGCAUGUGGUUUAAUUCGAUGAUACGCGAGGAACCUUACCAAGGCUUAAAUGCAGACUGACCGGUUUGGAAACAGACCUUUCGCAAGACGGUCUACAAGGUGCUGCAUGGUUGUCGUCAGCUCGUGCCGUGAGGUGUCAGGUUAAGUCCUAUAACGAGCGCAACCCCUGUUGUUAGUUGCCAGCGAGUCAUGUCGGGAACUCUAGCAAGACUGCCAGUGCAAACUGUGAGGAAGGUGGGGAUGACGUCAAAUCAUCACGGCCCUUACGCCUUGGGCUACACACGUGCUACAAUGGCCGGUACAGAGAGCAGCCACCCCGCGAGGGGGAGCGAAUCUAUAAAGCCGGUCACAGUUCGGAUCGGAGUCUGCAACUCGACUCC